CCUACGGGCGGCAGCAGUGAGGAAUAUUGGUCAAUGGACGAGAGUCUGAACCAGCCAAGUAGCGUGAAGGAUGACUGCCCUAUGGGUUGUAAACUUCUUUUAUAUGGGAAUAAAAUGUUCCACGUGUGGGAUUUUGUAUGUACCAUAUGAAUAAGGAUCGGCUAACUCCGUGCCAGCAGCCGCGGUAAUACGGAGGAUCCGAGCGUUAUCCGGAUUUAUUGGGUUUAAAGGGAGCGUAGGUGGAUGGUUAAGUCAGUUGUGAAAGUUUGCGGCUCAACCGUAAAAUUGCAGUUGAAACUGGCAGUCUUGAGUACAGUAGAGGUGGGCGGAAUUCGUGGUGUAGCGGUGAAAUGCUUAGAUAUCACGAAGAACUCCGAGUGCGAAGGCAGUUCACUGGACUGCAACUGACACUGAGGCUCGAGAGUGUGGGUAUCAAACAGGAUUAGAUACCCUUGUAGUC
Molecule: ribosomal RNA, 460 nt
Filed under: uncultured bacterium
Lineage: Bacteria
Description: partial 16S ribosomal RNA
Rfam family: Bacterial small subunit ribosomal RNA
Source: RNAcentral